UAAGCGAGUAGUGAAAGCGUUCGGCUCAACCGGAUACACAUUAUUUGAACUGCAAAGCUAGAGGACGAGAGAGGUUAUUGGAAUUCCCAGUGUAGGAGUGAAAUCCGUAGAUAUUGGAAGGAACACCGAUGGCGUAGGCAGAUAACUGGCUCGUUCCUGACACUAAGGCACGAAAGCGUGGGUAGCAAACGGGAUUAGAUACCCCGGUAGUCCACGCCGUAAACUAUGGAUGCUA
This 235-nucleotide ribosomal RNA is filed under the name uncultured Candidatus Saccharibacteria bacterium. RNAcentral's name for it is "partial 16S ribosomal RNA". It matches the Rfam family "Bacterial small subunit ribosomal RNA", at positions 584 to 818 of the family's 1533-position model. Lineage: Bacteria; Candidatus Saccharimonadota. The record is from RNAcentral.